AGUGAACGCUGGCGGUAGGCCUAACACAUGCAAGUCGAACGGCAGCACAGGAGAGCUUGCUCUCUGGGUGGCGAGUGGCGGACGGGUGAGGAAUACAUCGGAAUCUGCCCAGUCGUGGGGGAUAACGUAGGGAAACUUACGCUAAUACCGCAUACGACCUUCGGGUGAAAGAGGGGGAUCGCAAGACCCCCCGCGAUUGGAUGAGCCGAUGUCGGAUUAGCUAGUUGGCGGGGUAAUGGCCCACCAAGGCGACGAUCCGUAGCUGGUCUGAGAGGAUGAUCAGCCACACUGGAACUGAGACACGGUCCAGACUCCUACGGGAGGCAGCAGUGGGGAAUAUUGGACAAUGGGCGCAAGCCUGAUCCAGCCAUACCGCGUGGGUGAAGAAGGCCUUCGGGUUGUAAAGCCCUUUUGUUGGGAAAGAAAUCUUUCAGGCUAAUACCCUGGGAGGAUGACGGUACCCAAAGAAUAAGCACCGGCUAACUUCGUG
RNAcentral lists this ribosomal RNA (490 nucleotides) under uncultured bacterium. RNAcentral describes it as "partial 16S ribosomal RNA". It matches the Rfam family "Bacterial small subunit ribosomal RNA", at positions 29 to 507 of the family's 1533-position model. The record is from RNAcentral.